Molecule: ribosomal RNA, 253 nt
Filed under: uncultured bacterium
Lineage: Bacteria
Description: partial 16S ribosomal RNA
Rfam family: Bacterial small subunit ribosomal RNA
Source: RNAcentral
UACGGGGGGGGCAAGCGUUGUUCGGAAUUACUGGGCGUAAAGGGCUCGUAGGCGGCCAACUAAGUCAGACGUGAAAUCCCUCAGCUUAACUGGGGAACUGCGUCCGAUACUGGAUGGCUUGAGUUUGGGAGAGGGAUGCGGAAUUCCAGGUGUAGCGGUGAAAUGCGUAGAUAUCUGGAGGAACACCGGUGGCGAAGGCGGCAUCCUGGACCAACACUGACACUGAGGAGCGAAAGCCAGGGGAGCAGACGGG